RNAcentral lists this long non-coding RNA (1164 nucleotides) under Numida meleagris (helmeted guineafowl). Its description in RNAcentral is "lncRNA (ENSNMEG00000010693.1)". Lineage: Eukaryota; Metazoa; Chordata; Aves; Galliformes; Numididae. The record is from RNAcentral.
CUGGCAUCUAUUAAAAAAUGUAAUGUUUACUUUUUUUGAAAAAGUACUGUAGAAAGCGAUAACAGAAAUUCUAAAGAAAACCCCUGGUUAUACCCAAAUGUUCCCUUCCCCCUCCAGUCUUGGAACAUAUUACUCAAGUUGUUUUCCUCUUUUUUAUAAUUUUUGUAUGCAUUUUCAGCCUCCUGAUUGGAAAAGAAACUGAAUACUCUCAUGAAAUGAUGAAAAAAAAUGGAGCUUUAAUGUUUCAACUUCAAAGAAUGAGGAAACAAUGGAAAAGUGUUUGGCUGUGCUAGUCUGAGAGUGAAUCUACUGAGCAAGGUAAUAUGCAAGAGCAUAACAAUGAGAUUUGAGUCUUUGUAGCAGUUUGGUUUCCAAAUGCAAGUUUUCCUUAUGGAAUCUAAUGUGAUUAGCAACUUCAUAUUGGCAAAAAUGAAUUUAAUAUUUUAAAGCUCCUUUAGAUUCUGAUCCUGUAUCCACCUCUUCCAGAUGUUUCUGGUAUGACUGAUGGACUUGAGUGCCUUGACUUGAAGGUGUACAGCACAAAACUGCAUUGCCCUCAUUACUGUGAUAAAAGCUGAGGUGGCAGAAAGCAUGGGGCAGAGUCUUUCAUCCUAACAUAAAAAGAAGUCUUUCCUUCACUGACUGUGAGAAUUCCUACUGUCUUCAAGACUGAAGUUCAACUUCUGCAAGGUCAACACUAGAAAUAUUCCCUUGUAAUUCUGAGAAUUCCGUAUAAUAGAAUCAGAUGAAUACAUAAGGGUUUCACCUGACCAGCCUCCUGGUUUGCUGUUCUGUCAUGAAAUUGCUUUAAAAAUGAGUUUUAAAAAAUAGCAAUUCAAGUUCUUUAUUAUGUGUCUUUUUAUUUAUGUGCUUUGGAUUCCUAUUUCAAACUUGCCUGAACAGCAAUAGCAGGUGAAAAUGAUGCUUUUCAAAUUAAAAAUAAGGUUCCCAAAUACUCAUGUAAUUUUAGAUGCCAUGGCUUAAAAAAUGAGAGGGGAAAUAUCCCAAGGUGCUUGAUAAAACUGUGAAAGUUGGCAGUACUGAGACCAGAAAGUUUUAACUGUGACCAUUCUCUGUCUGCAAAAGAUAAGAGAGUUUUUCUCUCUAGAGAAUGAAACUUUUAAAUGAAGCUGGAAGAACUACAUUUCAAUUGAAUGUUGAGAG